Molecule: unclassified non-coding RNA, 270 nt
Filed under: Hevea brasiliensis (rubber tree)
Lineage: Eukaryota; Viridiplantae; Streptophyta; Magnoliopsida; Malpighiales; Euphorbiaceae
Source: RNAcentral
GGUAAAGGGCAGCGAGUAUGUAAAUUUUAUGAAAGCGGGUAUUGCAAGAAGGGGGCAUCAUGUAGUUAUUGGCACCCAUGAAAAUAUUAGAAUCCAGUUUCGACGCAAUUGUUGUGCAUUCAAUUAUGUAACCAUCAAUUGUAUUAGGACGUUUGGCCAUGUCAAUGGUCUAAUUUAACAUGUAAAAGUAUUAGAAAGUGGCGUAAUGCAUUUGUUCUUUGGAUAGUGCAGUUUAGGGCUGCAUGUUGCAGCAGUAAGCAGAUAUAAAUU